Molecule: ribosomal RNA, 389 nt
Filed under: Choanoflagellata sp.
Lineage: Eukaryota; Choanoflagellata
Description: partial small subunit ribosomal RNA
Rfam family: Eukaryotic small subunit ribosomal RNA
Source: RNAcentral
AUUCCAGCUCCAAUAGCGUAUAUUAAAGUUGUUGCAGUUAAAAAGCUCGUAGUUGGAUUUCUGUUCUCGAGGAUCGGUCCGCCUCACGGUGAGCACUGGUUUUUCUUGGGGACAUCCUCUCGAAGGCGGGUGGUGCACUUAAUUGUGUGCUGCUUGGAUUCGGGACCUUUACUUUGAAAAAAUUAGAGUGUUCAAAGCAGGCGUCGGCUUGAAUACAUUAGCAUGGAAUAAUGGAAUAGGACUUUGGUUCUAUUUUGUUGGUCUCUAGGACCGAAGUAAUGAUUAAUAGGGACAGUCGGGGGCAUUUGUAUUCAAGCGACAGAGGUGAAAUUCUUGGACCGUUUGAAGACAAACUACUGCGAAAGCAUUUGCCAAGAAUGUUUUCAUUA